RNAcentral lists this long non-coding RNA (378 nucleotides) under Hordeum vulgare. RNAcentral describes it as "long non-coding RNA (HVUL_LNC014958)". Lineage: Eukaryota; Viridiplantae; Streptophyta; Magnoliopsida; Poales; Poaceae. The record is from RNAcentral.
GAUUCUAGAGAUGCACAUAACUGAAGUAUUGAACUAUUGAUACGUUAAAUUGGGGAACACAAUCUUUUUGACAGAUAGGCAGAAAUUCACACGCAGAUACACAAUAUGAAAUCAGAGAUGUGUAGAUACAAAUCUAUAAUUCAACAAUGAAGGAAUCACCAGGAACAAACCGUUAAAAAAUAAUGGAUAUCCCAUGUGUGGAUGCGACUGUGGCUUCGGCUUGCACAUCCGCUGUCUGCUGCAUCACAAUUUGUUCCUCCACGGCAGCCUCGGCAAGUGUCGGGGCUUCAAUAUGUUCAUAAUUAAGUAUGUUGUUCCUGCUGGAUACAUGCUUUCUUGCAGUCGUGCUUGGAGGUUUGGAGGCCAUCACGCAUCAAU